Molecule: unclassified non-coding RNA, 343 nt
Filed under: soil metagenome
Description: partial contains 5.8S ribosomal RNA, internal transcribed spacer 2, and large subunit ribosomal RNA
Rfam family: 5.8S ribosomal RNA (bases 1-120)
Source: RNAcentral
GAUGAAGAACGUAGUGAAAUGCGAUAAGUAAUGUGAAUUGUAGAAUUCAGUGAAUCAUCGAAUCUUUGAACGCACAUUGCGCCCGCUAGUAUUCUGGCGGGCAUGCCUGUCCGAGCGUCAUUUCAACCCUCAAGCCCCCGGGCUUGGUGUUGGGGAUCGGCGAGCCUCCGCGCCCGCCGUCCCCUAAAUCUAGUGGCGGUCUCGCUGUAGCUUCCUCUGCGUAGUAGCACACCUCGCACUGGGAAACAGCGCGGCCACGCCGUUAAACCCCCAACUUCUGAACGUUUGACCUCGGAUCAGGUAGGAAUACCCGCUGAACUUAAGCAUAUCAAUAAGCGGAGGA